RNAcentral lists this ribosomal RNA (497 nucleotides) under uncultured bacterium. Its description in RNAcentral is "partial 16S ribosomal RNA". It matches the Rfam family "Bacterial small subunit ribosomal RNA", at positions 28 to 507 of the family's 1533-position model. The record is from RNAcentral.
GAUGAACGCUGGCGGCGUGCCUAAUACAUGCAAGUCGAGCGAACGGACGAGAAGCUUGCUUCUCUGAUGUUAGCGGCGGACGGGUGAGUAACACGUGGAUAACCUACCUAUAAGACUGGGAUAACUUCGGGAAACCGGAGCUAAUACCGGAUAAUAUUUUGAACCGCAUGGUUCAAAAGUGAAAGACGGUCUUGCUGUCACUUAUAGAUGGAUCCGCGCUGCAUUAGCUAGUUGGUGAGGUAACGGCUUACCAAGGCAACGAUGCAUAGCCGACCUGAGAGGGUGAUCGGCCACACUGGAACUGAGACACGGUCCAGACUCCUAUGGGAGGCAGCAGUAGGGAAUCUUCCGCAAUGGGCGAAAGCCUGACGGAGCAACGCCGCGUGAGUGAUGAAGGUCUUCGGAUCGUAAAACUCUGUUAUUAGGGAAGAACAUAUGUGUAAGUAACUGUGCACAUCUUGACGGUACCUAAUCAGAAAGCCACGGCUAACUACGUG